GCCUGCCCAGUGACACAAGUUCAACGGCCGCGGUAUCCUGACCGUGCAAAGGUAGCACAAUCACUUGUUCCUUAAAUAGGGACUAGUAUGAAUGGCCACACGAGGGUUAAACUGUCUCUUACUUCCAAUCAGUGAAAUUGACCUUCCCGUGAAGAGGCGGGAAUACUAAAAUAAGACGAGAAGACCCUAUGGAGCUUAAAUUAACUAACUCAAUACUAACACAUAAUAAUCCAAAAGGACCUAAAAACUAAACGUAACUGAGUUAGCAAUUUUGGUUGGGGUGACCUCGGAGAAUAAUAAAACCUCCGAAUAUCUAAUAGGCCUAGACACACAAGUCAAAGCUAAACAAACAAAACAUAUAAUUGACCCAAAUCAUUGAUCAACGGACCAAGUUACCCUAGGGAUAACAGCGCAAUCCUAUUUCAGAGUCCAUAUCGACAAUAGGGUUUACGACCUCGAUGUUGGAUCAGGACAUCCCAAUGGUGCAAAAGCU
RNAcentral lists this ribosomal RNA (493 nucleotides) under Ptilocercus lowii (pen-tailed tree shrew). RNAcentral's name for it is "partial 16S large subunit ribosomal RNA". It matches the Rfam family "Bacterial large subunit ribosomal RNA", at positions 1857 to 2563 of the family's 2925-position model. The record is from RNAcentral. Lineage: Eukaryota; Metazoa; Chordata; Mammalia; Scandentia; Tupaiidae.